Long non-coding RNA from Ipomoea nil (Japanese morning glory), 747 nucleotides. RefSeq lists it as uncharacterized. Lineage: Eukaryota; Viridiplantae; Streptophyta; Magnoliopsida; Solanales; Convolvulaceae. The record is from RefSeq and is a predicted model, not a curated record. The transcript is spliced from 3 exons.
UCUUCCUCUCAUCUCUCAUCUCUCAUCUCUCAUCUCAUAUCAUUGUUAUCAAUCUCACUCUACCCGUACCCAUUUGGAAAUCACUUCAUUCUCUACCACACCACAAAUUUUAUUGAAUUUCCGUAAGAACAACAUCGUGGAUGAACUGUUCGUUUGUUGGUUCCGUAAGGUGCGCAUUGAAAGAGCAGAGAAGAACACCCAGAGCAGAGAAGAACACCUACUCUGCACACCGCCAUAGCAGCUUAAUGAUCCGAGCAACAAACUUCGACAACCAUGGCGAUACAGAGAGCUUUCAUAAGAAACAAUCUAACUACUACGGCAAAAAAGAAAAAAUAAAAGAAAAAGAAAAGAAGGAAUACAACUCAAUAUCUACUCUAGAAACAUUCCUAGAUGCACAUGCAGACGGUUGAUGAAGUAUAAAAUCUUCGUCGUCCAUGGUUGAUACAGACAGUGUUCUUAAGAUCCGGCCAAGAAGACAUAGAAAGAGUCAACACUGAGCUGGAUUGAGCAGUUGACUGAAGAAGCUGAGCCAGGUAAACCAAAGCUUCAAAGAUGGCUAGAUAAUUUUGGGGUGCAAUAUGGCAAAUAAGGUUGUGGUUUUUCUGUCCAUUUCAGUAAUUCAGUUGCUGUGAUUAGAACAUUUUAUUUUCAGGAGACCCUUCUUUAGUAACUUAGGUUAUUCAAAUGCUUUCCUGCUAGGAUUUUAAAAGAGUCGUUAUAAAGAUUAGUCUGAAAAAGAUAGCAAAA